Molecule: transfer RNA, 71 nt
Filed under: Marmota monax (woodchuck)
Lineage: Eukaryota; Metazoa; Chordata; Mammalia; Rodentia; Sciuridae
Description: tRNA.Ser
Rfam family: tRNA
About the family: Transfer RNA (tRNA) molecules are approximately 80 nucleotides in length.
Source: RNAcentral
GGGGUUGUGGCUCAGCGGUAGAGCACUCGCCUUGAACAUGUGAGACCCUGGGUUCGAUCCUCAGCACCACA